This 647-nucleotide ribosomal RNA is filed under the name Lycogala sp. RNAcentral describes it as "partial small subunit ribosomal RNA". It matches the Rfam family "Eukaryotic small subunit ribosomal RNA", at positions 14 to 531 of the family's 1831-position model. The record is from RNAcentral. Lineage: Eukaryota; Evosea; Eumycetozoa; Liceales; Enteridiidae.
CUGCCAGAAUUCAUAUGCUUGUCCCGAAGACUCAAGCCAUGCAUGCCUAGAAGAAAAACUAGUUCCUUGGCUGUGCUGAAUUUUCUGGCAGCCUUGGUACUGGGGAAUCAGCGAACGGCUCCGUAUAUCUGUUGUUACCCAUCGUUGGCAAACUGGGCGUGGAUAUAGCAUGGAAAAGCUGUGUGUAAAACAAGUGAAUGGGGCAAUUUUCGACCCUCACUUAGCACAGAGGGUUUGCGCUAAGCGGACUCAUUUUUUUCGUGGCUCCCGCCCCGUCAGCAGCUCCCACAGUACGGGCUUAGUCCCCGAAACGGAGGCCUCAGUUAAGGGUUACAGGAAAAUGGUACUCCCAGCCGAGCCCAGCUCGGUGCUGUUUUGCCCUUAUUUCCGACUGAGACUAACCAACAGUGCACGAUGGGCUUCAGACCUAUCAGCUUGAUGGUAGGGUAUAGGCCUACCAUAGCCAUGACGGGUACAGAGGAUUAGGGUUUGAUCCUGGAGAGGUAGCCUGAGAAAUCGCUCCCACUUCUAAGGAAGGCAGCAGGCGCGUAACGUUCCCAAUGCCAUUAACCCUGGUGAGGACGUGAGGGGACAUAACAAUGCUCACCUAAUAGAAGGGAGUAAUUGCAAUGGCAUUAGCUUAAAAA